This 484-nucleotide ribosomal RNA is filed under the name uncultured bacterium. Its description in RNAcentral is "partial 16S ribosomal RNA". It matches the Rfam family "Bacterial small subunit ribosomal RNA", at positions 30 to 507 of the family's 1533-position model. The record is from RNAcentral.
AGUGAACGCUGGCGGCAGGCCUAACACAUGCAAGUCGAGCGGCAGCGCGGGGGCAACCCUGGCGGCGAGCGGCGGACGGGUGAGGAAUUCGUCGGAAUCUGCCUUUUUGUGGGGGAUAACGACGGGAAACUUACGCUAAUACCGCCUACGUCCUACGGGAGAAAGUGGGGGACCGCAAGGCCUCACGCAGAAAGAUGAGCCGACGACCGAUUAGCUAGUUGGUGGGGUAAAGGCCAACCAAGGCGACGAUCGGUAGCUGGUCUGAGAGGAUGAUCAGCCACACUGGGACUGAGACACGGCCCAGACUCCGACGGGAGGCAGCAGUGGGGAAUAUUGGACAAUGGGCGCAAGCCUGAUCCAGCCAUGCCGCGUGUGUGAAGAAGGCCUUCGGGUUGUAAAGCACUUUUGGCCGGAAAGAAAUCCCUGGAGCUAAUACCUUCGGGGGAUGACGGUACCGGAAGAAUAAGCACCGGCUAACUUCGUG